This is a long non-coding RNA of Carassius carassius (crucian carp), 1085 nucleotides long. RefSeq lists it as uncharacterized. Lineage: Eukaryota; Metazoa; Chordata; Actinopteri; Cypriniformes; Cyprinidae. The record is from RefSeq and is a predicted model, not a curated record. The transcript has 2 exons.
UUUUUUCUUGAAAUUUUAAGUUUCUAUCUUGUACAUUCUGACUUUUUCUUAUAACUUUUAUAUCUCACAAUUCUGCAUUUAUAUCUUACAAUCCUGAGUUUCUGUCUUGUAAUUCUGAAAUGUUUCUUGUAAUUCUGUUUAUAUCUCACAGUUCCGAGUUUCUGUCUUGUAAUUCUGACUUUUAUGUCUCACCAUUCUGAGUUUACAUUUUGCGAUUCUGACUUUAUUUCUCAGAAUUGAGAGAAAAAGUCCAAAUUGUGUGACAAACAUACCUGUUUUCAAUCCUUUGGUGGAACAAGUUUCCAUAGUUUCUGAUUCUGGCCCAGUGUCCGCGAAUGAUAAGGAAAGUUAUGGAGCGUUUGAGAUGGAGAAACAGAUUGAGGACCAGACAUGGCGUUGUAGUGACGCUGAGCAGCUGUUGUGCUCUGCUGGAGUUUCAGUAUUAGGAAGAUUUAAAUGUCAUGUAGGAUGAUGGUCAUGUGAUAAUUACCCAGAGAGAAUUUGGUAGGAAGGAACUUUACUUUUCCCCCAUUUGUUGUCUAUUUCAUGCACUGUUCAUAAAUUGAAUUUAAAAUAGGGCAAACAGUGGUUCAUAACAAUCCACAUCAUAUACAACCCAUAGCUUUGUCAACUGACCGUCACGCAUCAUGCUGUAUCAUUGCCUACCAUAUUGUGUAGUAGAACAUUAUAUUGGAAUGUAACCAGUCUUUAAACUGAUUGGACAGGUGGACGUUUCCACCUUCAUGAUUUAACGAUCUCCAGAAGCUGUUUAUAACCAAAGACGUGGCCAUGUACUCAAUCAGUUACUUUAAACUGUGCCAUUUAUUUUACUUAGCUUUAUCAAGUUAUUUCUGUUUUUGACAGAUAGUAGGACACGUCUAUGACUUUAAUAUAUUGUAUUCUGUAUUUUCUUAUUGAUCUUUUUAUGUAGUAAUAUAUUUUCACACAUGCAGCUGACUUGGAAAGUUAAAAAAAGACUACAUGGAAGGAUUUUGAUAAGAAAAGUUUUUUUUAUUAUUACCAUGUUAUUUUUUCAGUAUAUGAACAAGUGAAGAAUAUAAUAAAUGUAAAGUCAUGGUACCAAA